UGAAACGAUUCCACUUUUUCUCUCUUUAUCAUCUACCUCAUUUUUUUCUUUCUUCCUUUAGAUUAACUUUAUCUCUCAAUAAUCUACCUCAUUCACUUUCUUCUCCAAUUCUGAGACCAGUAAAACGCUGGCGUAGAGAAUUUUUUCCCUGACAAACCAAUUGUGAGUUUGAGCAACGAGAAUUGAGGUCGUGCUCGAUACCAAGUCAUUUACAAGUGUUUAAUUGAGUAUAGUGAAGCCACAGCACGUGCUUUACUAAACGACGUGGUCAAUCUCGGAUUAGAUUGAAUUUCGUAUAGUAAACGAUGAUGAGCAAUAUCGUAGACGUGACCACGUUUGAUACAGCAUUCACCAAUCAAGAUGUUUAUAUCUGUUGCUUUUAUCGAUGAUGGAGGACACAAGGUCGUGGACUGCAACUGCUACUCCAGUUCGAGGUCGAGUAUCACGAGAAUCCCAAAAUAAUACCUGGAGUAGUCGUGGCUCUUCUUCAAGACGGCAACGUGGCUCAUCUGGACGUGAGUGGCAAGAGGGCAAUAGCUAUAGAAGAAGAAGAAAAAAACGAAAAUCAUUGGGUGAAAAAAUUGCCGAUUGGUUUCGUGCAUUUAUAGCUUUUCUUUUUAGCAAUGUUGGCAUCGUUUGUCUUGUUGUCGGAUAUACCAUUGCAGGUGCGUUUAUAUUUGAAGCUAUUGAGGGUACGCACAAUCGUAAAACUGGAAUUAUACAUAACGUACCAUCAUCGAGAAAUGAAACUGCUAUUCAAUUGUGGAAAUUAACGACCAAGGAAAAUGUCUUUUCGGAAUUAACAUGGAAGUCCAAAGUCGAUACAAUUCUACAGGGAUAUCAAGAUAUUGUCAUUCAGGCUGGAAAAAAUGGAUGGGAUGGUACGGAUUCGAAAGAAGAUCGAAAGUGGAGUUUUGCUGGGGCUUUCUUGUACUCUUUAACAGUCAUUACAACAAUUGGUUAUGGCAAUACGUGCCCCAGAACCAUGUGGGGCAAGGUAAUUACAAUUGGCUACGCCAUUGCCGGAAUGCCCCUGUUUCUCUUGUACCUGAGCAACAUUGGUGAUAUUCUCGCGAAAAGCUUUAAGUGGACUUACGCCCGUUGCUGUCUAUGCAGAUGUCGAAAGAGGCCACGUAUGCCACGAAACCGGACUACUGGUUCCAGAUCAUCAAGUCAACCUUGCCAGAAAAACACCUGGCAAAUGGUCAGAAUGCAACCAGGCCACGUUGACACCGUUAGUUUAGACAAUGAGAUCGACUCUGUGUCAAAGACAGCAAGUGGUGAUGGAGAUGAAGACGAGGACGAUGAUGAUGACGAUGAAGAUGAUGGUGAAACUAGCAGUCAUUAUGAUCCUCAGCAAAUUACUGUCCCAUUAACUUUAUGUCUCAGCAUCAUGGUUGGGUACAUUUGUGGUGGGGCAUUUCUAUUUUCUGAAUGGGAAGACUGGGAUUUCCUUGAUGGCUCGUACUUUUGUUUUAUCUCUUUGUCAACAAUUGGCUUUGGAGAUAUUGUUCCAGGCGAUGAAAUUUACUCAAAAGAAGGCAUUCAACUUUCCUUUAUCUUUUGCUCGAUGUAUCUUAUGCUAGGUAUGGCUCUAAUAGCUAUGUGUUUCAAUUUGAUGCAGGAAGAGGUAAUAGCAAAAAUACGUUCGUUCACGCGAUCAGUAAAGCACGUUCUCAGGUGUGACAGAUAAACUUGGAAAAGUUUAAAUGAAUGUACGAGUGAUAAAUGGCGAGUUCAAUAUGACCUGACACUCGUAAAUAGUAUGAUUGAGGAAGACAUCUGGUACUGGCUGAUCUCCAAUACAAACAAUUUAAAAGCAAUACGUUUGGAUAUCUUUAUCUCUUUAUCAUUGAUAAUUUCCUGAUAUUUCAUAUACUACCGGAUAACAUGGAUCCUAAAUUCUGGCAUCCGGGUCUACGAACAGUCAUCAUUGAAUCUGAUAUUCUCUUUCCUUUCUACCAGCAUGAAACUGUCUCUCAACUAUUCUGGCAAAGCUCCAAUCUAUUCGUAUGACCUAUCAAGCCAGCAUGUACUCAAGUCGUUAUCGAUGAUUAUAUCACGAUGUACCUGUUUAAUGGAUAAUAUAGUCGUCUCCCACUUCUUUACUUUUCGGUUCCUCUCUAAAGCUGCAUAUAAAAAAGAGCAACAGUGCUACACAAUGGGUAUGCUGAAGGAUCUUUUUGAUAUAUCAACUGUGCGCUCAUGCGUCCUGGUCCACUCAGUUGUCCUAUAUAUCCACCCCCAGCUUCCGUUCAUCAGACUGUCGAUUCUGCGCGGAUUUCUCCAAGCCUCUCUGCUCCAAAGCAUCGUAUCAGACGCUCUCGCGAUUCUCGCGAGCUUCCCUCUUUCAUAUACGAAUAAAUUUAACGUGUCGCAAUUGCUUUUGCACCCUCUGUAGUCAUUUUUUCCAGUGGCCAUGUAGUUCAGUGGCAUCUCUAACAUGACAAGGGCGUUUUCACGCUUACUAUGUGUUACGUGAUGAUCUUAUGUACAUUGUAAAUUUACUGAACGAUCACUUGAUGUGCGUGCUACUAUUUUUAUAAUUUAUUCAAUUAAUGACCUAGCAAGAGACGGUGAAUGAAGAUUUGGCAUGAAGCUUGGAAAUAAUUAGUGGUCAGAAAGUAAUUAUGUUUGAGUAGAGAUAAUUGAAUGAUGAGAAUGAAUGAGAAUUCCUAUGGACAUCAGGACAAUAGAGCAAAGUUAUUUAGACCUCGAUCCGAUGUUGGAUCAGAUAUCAGAGAAAUGUUGGCGCCUGAGACAUCAAGGUGUCCCAACUGGUUAUUACUUUACAUAUUAUCAUCACUGUGGACAUCUGAUGUGGCAACAUUACAACAGCCGUGAUAAUAAGAAUAUAAAAAUAAAGGGAAAUAGAUUUAGU
This 2881-nucleotide unclassified non-coding RNA is filed under the name Chelonus insularis. Its description in RNAcentral is "potassium channel subfamily K member 18-like, transcript variant X5". Lineage: Eukaryota; Metazoa; Arthropoda; Insecta; Hymenoptera; Braconidae. The record is from RNAcentral.